This 446-nucleotide ribosomal RNA is filed under the name uncultured bacterium. Its description in RNAcentral is "bacterial SSU rRNA". It matches the Rfam family "Bacterial small subunit ribosomal RNA", at positions 329 to 792 of the family's 1533-position model. The record is from RNAcentral.
GGCCAGACUCCUACGGGAGGCAGCAGUGGGGGAUAUUGCACAAUGGGGGGAACCCUGAUGCAGCGACGCCGCGUGGGUGAAGGAGCGUUUCGGCGCGUAAAGCCCUAUCGGCAGGGAAGAAGAUGACGGUACCUGACCAAGAAGCCCCGGCUAACUACGUGCCAGCAGCCGCGGUAAUACGUAGGGGGCAAGCGUUAUCCGGAUUUACUGGGUGUAAAGGGAGCGUAGACGGCUGGUCAAGUCUGAAGUGAAAGCCCGGGGCUUAACCCCGGAACGGCUUUGGAAACUGAGCAGCUAGAGUGCUGGAGAGGUAAGCGGAAUUCCUAGUGUAGCGGUGAAAUGCGUAGAUAUUAGGAGGAACACCAGUGGCGAAGGCGGCUUACUGGACAGUAACUGACGUUGAGGCUCGAAAGCGUGGGGGGCAAACAGGAUUAGAUACCCUCGUA